Ipomoea nil (Japanese morning glory) is the source of this 1280-nucleotide long non-coding RNA. RefSeq lists it as uncharacterized. The transcript has 2 exons. The record is from RefSeq and is a predicted model, not a curated record. NCBI's taxonomy places the organism in Eukaryota, Viridiplantae, Streptophyta, Magnoliopsida, Solanales, Convolvulaceae.
GUUUUUAUUCAAAGUUUUAAAAUACUUGAUGAACUUUUAUGAAUGGAAAUGCUUUAUACAUUCACGCAAAUUCAAGAAUUUAUUUUUCUUAUCUUUUAAGACAAUGAUAUAGGUAUUUCAAUGAUUCAAUUGGUAUCUUCUGACAUCAGUUACAUACAUAAUAAUUAUCAAACUAGGUGAUUGUUUGUGUAAGCUUUCCUAUGAGUUUGCAUAAGGCUUCUUUUUGAACCUUUUGUAAGUACUGUAUUCAGCACCUGUGUUUGCAUGGGAGGUGUAAACAAGCCAAGCCGAGCUCGAAUAGUCGAUACUCGAAGCUCGGCUUGGUUUGAAAAAUCGAAGCUUGAACUCAACCGAGCUUUGAGUUUUUGAGUUUGAGCUCGGCUCAACUCAAGCUCGAGCUAUUUGACAGUUUGACUAAGCUCGAUAGACAAAUUCUUUCCUCAUUUUUUUAAUACAAAAGUUGUACAAAUAAUAUUUUUAUAAUCAAAUAUCAUAAGCGUAAUACCCUUUCAAUUACACAAGCCCAAAUCACCUUUUCACCAUGAAUUACAAAGCCUCAAAAUAAAAUUUCAUCCUACUAAUAGAUUAGUUUCUUGCUUACAGUGAUCCAAAAAUAUACUUCGUGCCUGAUUGUUGGGCAGAUAUCAAUUUGAAUAACAAAUACCUGGAAAAAAAAAAAGAGAAGACAGAUUAUUGAUUAUAAUGAAAAGUUAUGCAACCUAAAUCAGAAAAUACACAAGUUACUAUUAACAAGUAGUAGCAUUAAUAGCAGCAAAAACACAAUCAAAAGGCCCUCAUCAACACCAAUGAAAAAAAUAAAGUUUUUUUACAAUAAUUACUUUGUAAACCCGACAUUAAUGCAGCAAAAAACAUGAAGCAUACAUUAUCUUAAAUAGCCAAAAAGAAAAAAAAAACCAACAAAUCAUAAUUUGAAUAAAAAACUUAAAAGAUAAAUGAAAACAACUUAAUAAUAGUGACCACUUAUGCAACCAAAAAAAUAAAAAAUCAUACAUAAGUUAUCAUCUUAAUAGGACCAACAAAGAAUUAAAGUUUUUAUACAAUAAUUAGACUAUUAAUCUGGCAUUGAUUCAGCAAAAACACUUUGAGCAAAUCAUCUUAAUAGCAAAAAAAAAAAAAAACACUUGGAUUGAAAACCCUGUAAAGGGAAUACACCUUGUUAGUCCAACAAAUCCACCAAGAAAACAGGAAGAAUCAUGGUGCUCUGAAAUCAUAAAUGUCUUCAACUUAACUCCAUCGUUAGAUUCAUACAACAAAUAAAA